Molecule: long non-coding RNA, 1158 nt
Organism: Dermochelys coriacea (leatherback sea turtle)
Lineage: Eukaryota; Metazoa; Chordata; Testudines; Dermochelyidae
Exons: 3
Source: RefSeq, a predicted model, not a curated record
CACAAGAGGUAAAAUCACUGAUUAAUGGGUCUAAGGGGCUGAACCUUAGACCUAGUCUGGGGAGAGCUACCUAGUGAAAUUGCUAAGCGGUGGAGCCUCAGAACACGACAUUGCGGCUAGAGGCAGAGAUGGCAGUAGAGACAGGGAUGAGCAGUAGCAGCAAAGCAGUGGAAGAGGCUACAGAGGUCAGCUAAAGAGGCAUUGAUCAGUUCCCCCUUUCAGGGGUGGGAAUGAGCCACGUGGACACACCCUGAAUUCUGGGACUUUGCUGACUUCGGACAACCAACUACCUUUGCCUGAAUAAGGCUUGGGCUGUAUAGUACAUGUCAUGCUCUGCUGAACAGCAAUUCUCCUGGAGUGAAAUGUGCUGCUGAACAGUGGACAGCAACACUACACGAUACUUUAGGACAAAAAUUGAAGAUGAUCACAGUAAUAGCAGGUUUAUUGAAGUAGUGCCUGGGACCAUCAAGAAAGGAAGGAUGAUCCAGCAGUUUAGGGUGCUUUUGUAGGGCUUGGGCAAUCUGAGUUUAAGUCCCUGCUGUGCCACAGACUCCCUCUGUGACCUUGGGCAAGUCACAUAGCCAUUGUGCGCUUUGUUUCUCCAACUGUAAACUGAGGAUAAUAACCCUGCCGUACCCCACAGGGGUGAGUGGGGAUAAAGAUGUUGAUGGCUUCAGACCUAUGUUGAUCGUGGGUUCCAUAUAGGUACUUCUGAUAGGUAGAAUGGGCCCCCACUGUAGCAAGUGUUGUACAAAUAGAGCUGAUUGUCCCUGCCCCCAAAACCUUAACAGUCUAAAUAUACAGGACAGGGAAAUGGGCAUAACAGACAAGCAGAGUAAACAAAUGCGAUGGCCUGGAAAUAACCUGCUACUGCCCCAAUUAUUUGUAUUCCUUGGAUGUGGUUUAGUUAGAAGGGGAUUAGUUGCUGAACAGACAAAGGAAGGGGGCUAAGGGGCAUAGGAGAGGGAGGGAAGGGCAGAGGGGAACAUGGAAGCAAGAUGGGGUGAGGCUGAGGGGAAGGCAUUGAACCAAACCAAUCCCUGCUGUAGUGCUUGCGGAGGCAGCUUCUGCGUUUGCUCCUGCAGGCUACUGUCUCUGUGGCCUCUGGGACUAGUUCCUGUUCCUCCAUGGAAUUUUUCGUCCCCCAUCCCCAUAUCA